UUUCCGUAGGUGAACCUGCGGAAGGAUCAUUAUUGAAUAAACCUGAUGUGGCUGUUAGCUGGCUUUUCGAAGCAUGUGCUCGUCCGUCAUCUUUAUCUCUCCACCUGUGCACAUUUUGUAGUCUUGGAUACCUCUCGAGGCAACUCGGAUUUUAGGGUCGCUGUGCUGUACAAGUCGGCUUUCCUUUCAUUUCCAAGACUAUGUUUUUAUAUACACCAAGGUAUGUUUAAGGAAUGUCAUCAAUAGGAACUUGUUUCCUAUAUAAUUAUACAACUUUCAGCAACGGAUCUCUUGGCUCUC
RNAcentral lists this unclassified non-coding RNA (300 nucleotides) under plant metagenome. RNAcentral's name for it is "partial contains small subunit ribosomal RNA, internal transcribed spacer 1, and 5.8S ribosomal RNA". The record is from RNAcentral.